AGUAAUGUCUGGGAAACUGCCUGAUGGAGGGGGAUAACUACUGGAAACGGUAGCUAAUACCGCAUAACGUCGUAAGACCAAAGUGGGGGACCUUCGGGCCUCAUGCCAUCAGAUGUGCCCAGAUGGGAUUAGCUAGUAGGUGGGGUAACGGCUCACCUAGGCGACGAUCCCUAGCUGGUCUGAGAGGAUGACCAGCCACACUGGAACUGAGACACGGUCCAGACUCCUACGGGAGGCAGCAGUGGGGAAUAUUGCACAAUGGGCGCAAGCCUGAUGCAGCCAUGCCGCGUGUGUGAAGAAGGCCUUCGGGUUGUAAAGCACUUUCAGCGGGGAGGAAGGCAUUAAGGUUAAUAACCUUAGUGAUUGACGUUACCCGCAGAAGAAGCACCGGCUAACUCCGUGCCAGCAGCCGCGGUAAUACGGAGGGUGCAAGCGUUAAUCGGAAUUACUGGGCGUAAAGCGCACGCAGGCGGUCUGUCAAGUCGGAUGUGAAAUCCCCGGGCUCAACCUGGGAACUGCAUUCGAAACUGGCAGGCUAGAGUCUUGUAGAGGGGGGUAGAAUUCCAGGUGUAGCGGUGAAAUGCGUAGAGAUCUGGAGGAAUACCGGUGGCGAAGGCGGCCCCCUGGACAAAGACUGACGCUCAGGUGCGAAAGCGUGGGGAGCAAACAGGAUUAGAUACCCUGGUAGUCCACGCUGUAAACGAUGUCGAUUUGGAGGUUGUGCCCUUGAGGCGUGGCUUCCGGAGCUAACGCGUUAAAUCGACCGCCUGGGGAGUACGGCCGCAAGGUUAAAACUCAAAUGAAUUGACGGGGGCCCGCACAAGCGGUGGAGCAUGUGGUUUAAUUCGAUGCAACGCGAAGAACCUUACCUGGUCUUGACAUCCACAGAACUUNUUGGUGCCUUCGGGAACUGUGAGACAGGUGCUGCAUGGCUGUCGUCAGCUCGUGUUGUGAAAUGUUGGGUUAAGUCCCGCAACGAGCGCAACCCUUAUCCUUUGUUGCCAGCGGUUAGGCCGGGAACUCAAAGGAGACUGCCAGUGAUAAACUGGAGGAAGGUGGGGAUGACGUCAAGUCAUCAUGGCCCUUACGACCAGGGCUACACACGUGCUACAAUGGCAUAUACAAAGAGAAGCGACCUCGCGAGAGCAAGCGGACCUCAUAAAGUAUGUCGUAGUCCGGAUUGGAGUCUGCAACUCGACUCCAUGAAGUCGGAAUCGCUAGUAAUCGUAGAUCAGAAUGCUACGGUGAAUACGUUCCCGGGCCUUGUACACACCGCCCGUCACACCAUGGGAGUGGGUUGCAAAAGAAGUAGGUAGCUUAACCUUCGGGAGGGCGCUUACCACUUUGUGAUUCAUGACUGGGGUGAAGUCGUAACAAGGUAACCGUAGGGGAACCUGCGGUUGGAUCACCU
Molecule: ribosomal RNA, 1411 nt
Filed under: Klebsiella variicola
Lineage: Bacteria; Pseudomonadati; Pseudomonadota; Gammaproteobacteria; Enterobacterales; Enterobacteriaceae
Description: bacterial SSU rRNA
Rfam family: Bacterial small subunit ribosomal RNA
Source: RNAcentral